This is a small RNA of 78 nucleotides. It matches the Rfam family "Flavo-1 RNA".
UCCUAGCCCUGAUAGCAGCGGUAUCCUUUUUGUUUUUUCUUUAAAAACAAAAAGAUAUAGCGGAUAGCAGGAAAUUGC